ACUGGGGAAUUUGGUGCAAGCAGGAGCUUCACCUCAUGCAGAAUUGCAGUGUGAUUUUAGAGUGCUGUUACCAUUCUUAUGCUUAGAAGGCAGAGUGUCUUCAGUUAGGAUUCUGUCGUGUUUAAUGGAUCCCACUCUCGUUGGCUUAGGCAGAAAGGUGUUAAAUGGUUUGCAGAAUUGUUGGGAAGGCUAAGCUUCCAGGAGCAGCUCCCAAAGUCUCCACACACAACUGGACCACCAGGGAACCUGCUCCCUCCACCAGGACAGGACUUGGAAACCUGCCACCGCAAUUACCAGCACCAGAAGGAUCUUGUCUCUGCUAAGUCUCUGUCGACAUAGUGAAUACCCUGUGCCCUGCCUCUCUCUCCCUGACUCAGGUCCCAUUCCAGGUCUUGCCCAAGUCUUUCUGAUUGGUGGGACUUAAAUCACACCCAAAAUUCCAGCUGCAGGAGAGCUCUGAGAUUUCAUCUUUCCAACCUCUGUGUGCUACGUGGGGGUUGGAGCACUUGCUGACAAGCCUUGCAACCACCAUUGACAGGAUGUCCUCCACCUUUUCAAUCUGAUUUGCUCUUUGCCAUGCAGACCUGUGGAUGAAGAGCCAGAGUCCUCCAAGGUGAAGCUGGACUGAAUAUUUCUGU
Long non-coding RNA from Homo sapiens (human), 638 nucleotides. Ensembl annotates it as CCDC144NL antisense RNA 1. Its record names the gene CCDC144NL-AS1. The record is from Ensembl. Lineage: Eukaryota; Metazoa; Chordata; Mammalia; Primates; Hominidae.